UACGGAGGGAGCUAGCGUUGUUCGGAAUUACUGGGCGUAAAGCGUACGUAGGCGGCUUGGCAAGUAGGGGGUGAAAUCCCGGAGCUUAACUCCGGAACUGCCCUCUAAACUGCUGAGCUAGAAUCCUGGAGAGGUGAGCGGAAUUCCUAGUGUAGAGGUGAAAUUCGUAGAUAUUAGGAAGAACACCAGUGGCGAAGGCGGCUCACUGGACAGGUAUUGACGCUGAGGUACGAAAGCGUGGGGAGCAAACAGG
RNAcentral lists this ribosomal RNA (253 nucleotides) under uncultured bacterium. RNAcentral's name for it is "partial 16S ribosomal RNA". It matches the Rfam family "Bacterial small subunit ribosomal RNA", at positions 524 to 776 of the family's 1533-position model. The record is from RNAcentral.